GAGCGGGCAUAGCAAUAUGUCAGCGGCAGACGGGUGAGUAACGCGUGGGAACGUACCUUUUGGUUCGGAACAACACAGGGAAACUUGUGCUAAUACCGGAUAAGCCCUUACGGGGAAAGAUUUAUCGCCGAAAGAUCGGCCCGCGUCUGAUUAGCUAGUUGGUGAAGUAAUGGCUCACCAAGGCGACGAUCAGUAGCUGGUCUGAGAGGAUGAUCAGCCACAUUGGGACUGAGACACGGCCCAAACUCCUACGGGAGGCAGCAGUGGGGAAUAUUGGACAAUGGGCGCAAGCCUGAUCCAGCCAUGCCGCGUGAGUGAUGAAGGCCCUAGGGUUGUAAAGCUCUUUUGUGCGGGAAGAUAAUGACGGUACCGCAAGAAUAAGCCCCGGCUAACUUCGUG
This 399-nucleotide ribosomal RNA is filed under the name uncultured bacterium. RNAcentral describes it as "bacterial SSU rRNA". It matches the Rfam family "Bacterial small subunit ribosomal RNA", at positions 64 to 507 of the family's 1533-position model. The record is from RNAcentral.